GACGAACGCUGGCGGCGUGCUUAACACAUGCAAGUCGAACGCUGAACCCGCUUCGGUGGGGGAUGAGUGGCGAACGGGUGAGUAGCACGUGGGCAACCUGCCCCCGGCUCUUGGAUAACUCCAAGAAAUUGGGGCUAAUACCGGAUGUGACCGCUGGCCGCAUGGUCUGGUGGUGGAAAGGGUUUCCGGCUGGGGAUGGGCCCGCGGCCUAUCAGCUUGUUGGUGGGGUAGUGGCCUACCAAGGCGACGACGGGUAGCCGGCCUGAGAGGGUGACCGGCCACACUGGGCCUGAGACACGGCCCAGACUCCUACGGGAGGCAGCAGUGGGGAAUAUUGCGCAAUGGGCGGAAGCCUGACGCAGCGACGCCGCGUGGGGGAUGACGGCCUUCGGGUUGUAAACCUCUUUCAGCAGGGACGAAGCGAAAGUGACGGUACCUGCAGAAGAAGCACCGGCCAACUACGUG
Molecule: ribosomal RNA, 465 nt
Filed under: uncultured bacterium
Lineage: Bacteria
Description: partial 16S ribosomal RNA
Rfam family: Bacterial small subunit ribosomal RNA
Source: RNAcentral